UCAGUUGGCAGAGAAGGAUAUUUCUCUCUGGAAUAUCUGUUGGUGGAAGCAUGCUCAGACCCACUUGGUGAUUCUGGUCUACAGAAAGUUAUUAGUCACCUCCGAAGGAGAAAAGAAAAUAGCAGAAACAGAGAUAUCUUUGUUGAAACAA
Non-coding RNA from Carica papaya (papaya), 151 nucleotides. Lineage: Eukaryota; Viridiplantae; Streptophyta; Magnoliopsida; Brassicales; Caricaceae. The record is from RefSeq and is a predicted model, not a curated record.